RNAcentral lists this ribosomal RNA (422 nucleotides) under uncultured prokaryote. RNAcentral describes it as "bacterial SSU rRNA". It matches the Rfam family "Bacterial small subunit ribosomal RNA", at positions 355 to 774 of the family's 1533-position model. The record is from RNAcentral.
UGAGGAAUAUUGGUCAAUGGGCGCAAGCCUGAACCAGCCAUCCCGCGUGCAGGAUGAAGGCCCUAUGGGUCGUAAACUGCUUUUAUACACCAAGAAAAACACGAACGUGUUCGUGCCCGACGGUAGUGUAUGAAUAAGCAUCGGCUAACUCCGUGCCAGCAGCCGCGGUAAUACGGAGGAUGCAAGCGUUAUCCGGAUUCAUUGGGUUUAAAGGGUGCGUAGGCGGCUUUUUAAGUCAGUGGUGAAAUCCUGCCGCUUAACGGUAGAAUUGCCAUUGAUACUGAAGAGCUUGAGUACAAUUGAGGUAAGCGGAAUGUGUAGUGUAGCGGUGAAAUGCUUAGAUAUUACACAGAACACCAAUUGCGAAGGCAGCUUACUAAACUGUUACUGACGCUGAUGCACGAAAGCGUGGGGAGCGAACA